Molecule: ribosomal RNA, 328 nt
Filed under: uncultured bacterium
Lineage: Bacteria
Description: bacterial SSU rRNA
Rfam family: Bacterial small subunit ribosomal RNA
Source: RNAcentral
AGUAGACGUUCAGAGUUUGAUCCUGGCUCAGGACGAACGCUGGCGGCGUGCCUAACACAUGCAAGUCACACGGGGUAGCAAUACCCAGUGGCGAACGGGUGCGUAACACGUGAGGAAUAUGACUUCCGGUGGGGGAUAGCCGGCCCAACGGCCGGGUAAUACCGCAUACGCUGCGCGAGGGGCAUCCCUUGCGUCGGAAAGCAGCAAUGCGCCGGAAAGGUACCUCGCGGCCUAUCAGCUAGUUGGUGAGGUAAUGGCUCACCAAGGCGACGACGGGUAGCUGGUCUGAGAGGAUGGCCAGCCACAUUGGGACUGAGACACGGCCCAG